This 258-nucleotide ribosomal RNA is filed under the name uncultured bacterium. Its description in RNAcentral is "partial 16S ribosomal RNA". It matches the Rfam family "Bacterial small subunit ribosomal RNA", at positions 524 to 776 of the family's 1533-position model. The record is from RNAcentral.
UACGUAGGCACCAAGCGUUGUCCGGAUUUAUUGGGCGUAAAGAGCUCGUAGGCGGUUCGGUAAGUCGGGUGUGAAAAACUCUGGGCUCAACCCAGAGAGGCCACCCGAUACUGCUGUGACUAGAGUGCGGUAGGGGAGCGGGGAAUUCCUGGUGUAGCGGUGAAAUGCGCAGAUAUCAGGAGGAACACCAGCGGCGAAGGCGCCGCUCUGGGGCCGUAACUGACGCUGAGGCGCGAAAAGCGUGGGGGAGCAAACAGG